This 1821-nucleotide unclassified non-coding RNA is filed under the name Cyanidioschyzon merolae strain 10D. RNAcentral describes it as "hypothetical transcript". The record is from RNAcentral. Lineage: Eukaryota; Rhodophyta; Bangiophyceae; Cyanidiales; Cyanidiaceae.
GAUGUAGCCGCCAAAAUAUCCGGGAAACGGAUUGUAACGGUUUGGAGUGCUGUGAGUUCUUUCGAGGCACCGCGUUGCGUAAAAGAAAAAGUCGAGUUCGGGGAUCCGUUUCGUUUGACUCUGAAGUUUCAAGCCGGUGAUGUGCCGUGCUGCCUACACCGGUCACUGAGAUGAGCAUAGUGCUGGUUGGAGCGACUGCCCUAUGGAGUUUCGAGUAGGCAAUGGAGCGAAGCCUCAAUUCAGCGCCCAGUUCCCACACGCUGGCCAUUUCACUGACCCUAUUCGAGUUUCUUGAGACACGGGUCAGAAUUCAGAGAGAAUUGCCUCUGGAGCACAGGGUGGUGGCAACGGAUGGGACUUGUUGCGGCACAGCGCUCCCGAAACAGAUCGCAAAACCAGGUGGUUUUCAAACCGACGCAGCAAGAGUGAGAAGCAAAGGUCUUUUGCAGGUACCGCUCGACGCCGACCUGGGAUGGAUGAAACGUAUUUUAAUGCUUUCAUAGUCACGUUGCAUGAGAUUGGGGAAGCGUACACCUUUCCCCUGACCGAGCGCUGCCGCUCAUACGAACGCUUGGAACUUUCGGUACCUGGAGAUCUUCCAGGAGAAGCUGUCACUGCAAUGGAAGGUUGCGAACAUGGUCCCUAUAAUUGGAGAAGGUAUCUCGUACUCGAGACAUAUGUGUUUGCACUUGCGCGCCGCGUAGCAACAAGAAGCCGUGCAUGCAAGGCCGGCACGUACACACAUGAAGCGGGAUCAAGCCGAUGCGUGUCGGUCUCAGAGGUUUGGCGUUGAUGCUUCAUCGUACGUUGCCUGCCCCGAUGCCGCACGAGCCCGCGCACAAUUGAGCAACGGAUCGUGAGAUGCUCUUGUGCUGCUCGAUGGAGCUUGCUAUCAUCGAUGCGCAGGUUUCCUGGAGUGCCUGGUAUUGCCUCGAUGCCACCGAUCGAAUAGCGGCUUGCUCAAAACGAUUGGCUGCGUAGGCUGGUAACCAAAUGGAACCCAGGGCGCCGCUGACCCGCGUUCGCCACAUGCGAUGCUCGCCACACCUGGUCACGAAUCUGCAGUCGAAUGGUGGUGUGUAUGCGCUCGAUGCUGGCUGGGGCGGCAACCGUGCCCCACGCCCAGGAUGCAUCCACCGCCCGAGACGCAUCGGUGGGGAUCAUUGCGGGUGCGCAGCGGCCUACCGCGCGAUCGACGAUCGGGAUCUCGUGCCAGCGAGGCACGGGGCUGAAACAUGGACGAAGUAGGACCUUGCGGACAAGGCGGACACGGGGGCGACACGCGUCGCGCGUGCGGUGUUGACGGCGGCGGUUUCCAGCGAUGCAUGUCGCGUCACAAACGCGCUCGUCUGACGCUGCCUUGGGCCACAGAAUGCGGACUGCGCUGGGGCGUUUCCAACACGCGCUCUGAGGGCACUGUUGAAGCGUUGGUCGGAGUUUCGGGACGCUGACCAGCUACUGGUUCCGUAUUCUGUGUGACGAGGGUCAAGUGCUCGCUCGUUGUCUCUAUUGGCGAGUUAGCACGCACGAAACCUGGCCAUGAGGGCAGACACGGUCGCAUUCCUCGUUUGGAGCGGACUUGGUCCAAACUCGAGGCAGCCGCGUGCGUCGUCGUCGAGGUCACUGCUACGUCUGCAAGCAGGUGCCGCUAGCCACGAAAACGAGCCGCCUGUUGGUAGUCGCGAGCAGAAGCAGUCGGCUUCUUUGAAGUACGAGGCUGCAAAAGAGUUACCAGCGGGCGCGAAUGAAAACGCGUCCCCGCCCGCGAACCAUAAAAUCACGCCGACGAACGGGGUAUCGCCGAGAAUCUCUCUACAAGAG